Non-coding RNA from Podarcis lilfordi (Lilford's wall lizard), 449 nucleotides. Lineage: Eukaryota; Metazoa; Chordata; Lepidosauria; Squamata; Lacertidae. The record is from the annotation of a GenBank genome assembly.
CAUUGCUCCGUGUCCGCUUCUCUGGAGCAGCAGAAAACAACCUUUUUCCCUCCUCUAUGUGACAUCCUUUUAUAUAUUUGAACAUGGCUAUCAUAUCACCCCUUAACCUCCUCUUCUCCAGGCUAAACAUGCCCAGCUCCCUUAGCCGUUCCUCAUAAGGCAUCGUUUCCAGGCCUUUGACCAUUUUGGUUGCCCUCCUCUGGACCCGUUCCAGCUUGUCAGUGUCCUUCUUGAACUGUGGUGCCCAGAACUGGACACAGUACUCCAGGUGAGGUCUGACCAGAGCAGAAUACAGUGGCACUAUUACUUCCCUUGAUCUAUACUCCUAUUGAUGCAGCCCAGAAUUGCAUUGGCUUUUUUAGCUGCCGCGUCACACUGUUGGCUCAUGUCAAGUUUGUGGUCAACCAAGACUCCUAGAUCCUUUUCACAUGUACUGCUCUCAAGCCACC